RNAcentral lists this small nuclear RNA (18 nucleotides) under Arabidopsis thaliana (thale cress). RNAcentral's name for it is "snRNA_15876". The record is from RNAcentral. Lineage: Eukaryota; Viridiplantae; Streptophyta; Magnoliopsida; Brassicales; Brassicaceae.
AUAGGUAGGACGUGUCGG